This 407-nucleotide ribosomal RNA is filed under the name uncultured bacterium. Its description in RNAcentral is "bacterial SSU rRNA". It matches the Rfam family "Bacterial small subunit ribosomal RNA", at positions 354 to 776 of the family's 1533-position model. The record is from RNAcentral.
GUGGGGAAUAUUGGGCAAUGGACGCAAGUCUGACCCAGCAACGCCGCGUGAAGGAAGAAGGCUUUCGGGUUGUAAACUUCUUUUAAGGGGGAAGAGUAGAAGACGGUACCCCUUGAAUAAGCCACGGCUAACUACGUGCCAGCAGCCGCGGUAAUACGUAGGUGGCAAGCGUUGUCCGGAUUUACUGGGUGUAAAGGGCGUGUAGCCGGGUGUGCAAGUCAGAUGUGAAAUCUGGAGGCUCAACCUCCAAACUGCAUUUGAAACUGUGCAUCUUGAGUAUCGGAGAGGUAACCGGAAUUCCUAGUGUAGCGGUGAAAUGCGUAGAUAUUAGGAAGAACACCAGUGGCGAAGGCGGGUUACUGGACGACAACUGACGGUGAGGCGCGAAAGCGUGGGGAGCAAACAGG